UCUCCGUAGGUGAACCUGCGGAGGGAUCAUUACAGAGUUCAUGCCCUACCGGGUAGAUCUCCCACCCUAUGUUAUUAUUACUUUGUUGCUUUGGCGGGCCGUUAGGCUCCGGCCCGACUACUGGCCCCGGCUGGUAAGCGCCCGCCAGAGGACCCAAAACCCUGAAUAUUAGUGUCGUCUGAGUACUAUAUAAUAGUUAAAACUUUCAACAACGGAUCUCUUGGUUCUG
Molecule: unclassified non-coding RNA, 229 nt
Filed under: plant metagenome
Description: partial contains small subunit ribosomal RNA, internal transcribed spacer 1, and 5.8S ribosomal RNA
Source: RNAcentral